RNAcentral lists this ribosomal RNA (553 nucleotides) under uncultured Lactococcus sp. RNAcentral describes it as "bacterial SSU rRNA". It matches the Rfam family "Bacterial small subunit ribosomal RNA", at positions 232 to 776 of the family's 1533-position model. The record is from RNAcentral. Lineage: Bacteria; Bacillati; Bacillota; Bacilli; Lactobacillales; Streptococcaceae.
CGCGUUGUAUUAGCUAGUUGGUGAGGUAAAGGCUCCCCAAGGCGAUGAUACAUAGCCGACCUGAGAGGAGUGAUCGCCCACAUUGGGACUGAGACGCGGCCCAAUCUCCUACGGGAGGCAGCAGUAGGGAAUCUUCGGCAAUGGACGAAAGUCUGACCGAGCAACGCCGCGUGAGUGAAGAAGGUUUUCGGAUCGUAAAACCCUGUUGGUAGAGAAGAACGUUGGUGAGAGUGGAAAGCUCAUCAAGUGACGGUAACUACCCAGAAAGGGACGGCUAACUACGUGCCAGCAGCCGCGGUAAUACGUAGGUCCCGAGCGUUGUCCGGAUUUAUUGGGCGUAAAGCGAGCGCAGGUGGUUUAUUAAGUCUGGUGUAAAAGGCAGUGGCUCAACCAUUGUAUGCAUUGGAAACUGGUAGACUUGAGUGCAGGAGAGGAGAGUGGAAUUCCAUGUGUAGCGGUGAAAUGCGUAGAUAUAUGGAGGAACACCGGUGGCGAAAGCGGCUCUCUGGCCUGUAACUGACACUGAGGCUCGAAAGCGUGGGGAGCAAACAGG